RNAcentral lists this transfer RNA (82 nucleotides) under Psychroflexus maritimus. It matches the Rfam family "tRNA". Rfam says of the family: Transfer RNA (tRNA) molecules are approximately 80 nucleotides in length. The record is from Rfam by way of RNAcentral. Lineage: Bacteria; Pseudomonadati; Bacteroidota; Flavobacteriia; Flavobacteriales; Flavobacteriaceae.
GCGAGCGUGGUGGAAUUGGUAGACACGCUAGACUUAGGAUCUAGUGCUUCACGGCGUGAGAGUUCGAGUCUCUCCGCUCGCA